This is a non-coding RNA of Amborella trichopoda, 953 nucleotides long. The record is from RefSeq and is a predicted model, not a curated record. Lineage: Eukaryota; Viridiplantae; Streptophyta; Magnoliopsida; Amborellales; Amborellaceae.
ACAUGGAAAUCAAAAUGACAUGGUCACCGUAAAGUUGUGUCCAUGACGCCUGAACGCCACCAAGCCAGCAGCGACAUCGCCGCUCCACUCAUUUUCUUCUUCAUCCUCGCUUUGCACCUCCUCACCCAAUUCCUCGGACAUAUUAAAAAGAGAGGAUCACAGAAUAUCGAACUGAUUAAACUGCGACAAGAGAUUAAGCAACUUUUGAAAGAAGCAAGUUCUUUAUUGGUGCCAUCUACAUUUGCAAAAGCUGCAAAGCUUAGACGGGUUGCGGCAGAGAAGGAGAAAGAACUUUUAAGGAUCCAGAAAUCACAAGAAAAGGACAAGCUAUGGGCUUUUGAUUUCUAUUUAGGAUCUCUACAGAUUGUAAAGUGGGAACCUGAAAUCUUUCAGACAUGUGCAUAUUUUGGGCUCAUUUGGUGGUUCUGGGGUGUCCCCGUUGCAGUCAUUUCUCGCCAACUUUUGGAUCCCUUUGGUAGGCUGCUGUCAUGGAAAGCUGGAGACUCUACAAGUAACCAAAUUAAGGUUGGGAUCAUACCAUGGUUAAUAUUAACAUCUAGGGUCAGUACCUUCCUCUGUCAAAAGGUCUCAUCAGCUGGACAUCAAAAGUCUUGAGAUCAUCUUCGCAGCAAUAUGGGGCUCAUCAAGUCAACCCUCGAUUUGUUUGGGGUUUUUGAUCCUUGUAUUUCUUUUUCUUUCCUUUUUUUUCUCCAAGGAGUUCAGCUAGGAUUCAAACAUAGGCUGUAGUGUUGUAAUCAUCUACACCUCAACCAAUUAAGCCCAAGCUCCUUCAUCCUUACAUUUCUUAUGAUGAAGAAUAGGUGUGCGACUUGGACAUUGUGCUACAGUCAGUACCCUAAAAGCUGAACCAAGAACCCAAACUUGAUGCGGGUUUUGAAUCUUGACAUUAUGAUGUGGCAUAAUUUCAAGGUCACUCAGCUUUCUUCAAUCUA